Long non-coding RNA from Drosophila willistoni, 1746 nucleotides. RefSeq lists it as uncharacterized. The transcript is spliced from 12 exons. The record is from RefSeq and is a predicted model, not a curated record. NCBI's taxonomy places the organism in Eukaryota, Metazoa, Arthropoda, Insecta, Diptera, Drosophilidae.
CAGAAAUCCCACUAAUCGAAUAACAACUACAUUUAUUAAUUAACAUUAUAUCAAAUCAAUUUUUGCUUAUGCCAACGAACGAACCUUUUUCUGUUCAAAUAUUCAACAAUUCAAAAAUUUUCCGAAGAAAUGAUUUCAUCUCGUCGUCUUUUUUGUCCUCUGAUGGAGAAACAAACUUAAAUCUCAAAUUUUUGCAUCGUCAUCACCAAUAUUAUUCCUUAUUUUAAUUAUCAAAUAGUUCAAUAUUUUUGUAUUCUCCUUGGAAAUUUACUGAGUUUAAAACAAAUGGAAUUUCCUCUUCAUCGUCGUCCUCUUCGUGAUUUUUCCAUCGUGAUCACCAAUAUUAUUCCUUGUUUCAAUCAUCAUCGAAGAAACAGUUUUUGUAUUUUCCUUUGAGAUUUGUCAAGUUAAGAUGAAAUGGAGUUUCCUCCUCGUCAUUGUCGUCUUCGUGAAGAAAAGAGAAACCUAAAUCUCAAAUUUUUGCAUCAUCAUCACCAAUAUUAUUCCUUAUUUUAAUUAUCAAAUAGUUCAAUAUUUUUGUAUUCUCCUUGGAAAUUUACUGAGUUUAAAACAAAUGGAAUUUCCUCUUCAUCGUCGUCCUCUUCGUGAUUUUUCCAUCGUGAUCACCAAUAUUAUUCCUUGUUUCAAUCAUCAUCGAAGAAACAGUUUUUGUAUUUUCCUUUGAGAUUUGUCAAGUUAAGAUGAAAUGGAGUUUUCUCCUCAUCAUUGUCGUCUUCGUGAAGAAAAGAGAAACCUAAAUCUCAAAUUUUUGCAUCGUCAUCACCAAUAUUAUUCCUUAUUUUAAUUAUCAAAUAGUUCAAUAUUUUUGUAUUCUCCUUGGAAAUUUACUGAGUUUAAAACAAAUGGAAUUUCCUCUUCAUCGUCGUCCUCUUCGUGAUUUUUCCAUCGUGAUCACCAAUAUUAUUCCUUGUUUCAAUCAUCAUCGAAGAAACAGUUUUUGUAUUUUCCUUUGAGAUUUGUCAAGUUAAGAUGAAAUGGAGUUUUCUCCUCAUCAUUGUCGUCUUCGUGAAGAAAAGAGAAACCUAAAUCUCAAAUUUUUGCAUCGUCAUCACCAAUAUUAUUCCUUAUUUUAAUUAUCAAAUAGUUCAAUAUUUUUGUAUUCUCCUUGGAAAUUUACUGAGUUUAAAACAAAUGGAAUUUCCUCUUCAUCGUCGUCCUCUUCGUGAUUUUUCCAUCGUGAUCAAUAUUAUUCCUUGUUUCAAUCAUCAUCGAAGAAACAGUUUUUGUAUUUUUCUUUAAGAUUUGUCAAGUUAAGAUAAAAUGAAGUUUCCUCCUCAUCAUUGUCGUCUUCGUGAAGAAAAGAGAAACCUAAAUCUCAAAUUUUUUCAUCGGCAUAUUUUCCUUUGACAUUUGUCAAGUUAAGAUAAAAUGGAGUUUCCUCCUCGUCGUCAUCGUCUUCGUGAAGGAGUGUCAAACUUGAAUUUUAAAUUUUUCAGAUUUCGGAUUGCACCCCUCCGCCACUGCUCAUUCCUCAGGAUUUCUUUAGAAAUUUGGCAAGGAUACUCUUUAAAACUUGUGUCAUGUGUGAAGAAAUAUAUACAAAAAUGAUUUGCAAUAAAAACCAGUCGUAAUCAAAUUUCAAAAGUUUUAGUAAAAAUUAUAUAAUGGUCGUAUAAGAUUGGUUAAGGUCUUCCAUCCCAUACUCAGUAAGUAAGCUAAAUGUGAUGAGUCAUGCUAGAACAUAAAGGACAAAUAUUUUGGAAAAGAAAUCAAAAAGGGUAAGGG